This 1492-nucleotide long non-coding RNA is filed under the name Lonchura striata (white-rumped munia). RNAcentral describes it as "domestica (Bengalese finch) lncRNA (ENSLSDG00000005938.1)". Lineage: Eukaryota; Metazoa; Chordata; Aves; Passeriformes; Estrildidae. The record is from RNAcentral.
AUGAGAGGGGUCAGUAGUCCCAGGGGUCGGUGGUCCCGGGGGAUUGAUGGUAGCAGGGAUCGGCAGUACCAGGGAUCAGUGGUGGCAGAGGUCAGGGGCCGCAGGGCUCGGUGGCCACAGGAGCCGCUGUGGCAAGGCUUGGUGGUCACAAGAGCUGCUGUGGUGAGGCUCGGUGGUCUCAGGGCUCGGUGGUCACAGGGCUCGGUGGUCUCGGUGCUCUCGGGGCUCGGUGGUCUCGGGCUCGGUGGUCUCGGGGCUCGGUGGUCUCGGGUGCCGCUGUGGUGGGACUCGGUGGUCUCAGGGCUCGGUGGUCUCGGUGGUCUCAGGGCUCAGUGCUCUCGGUGGUCUCGGGUGCCGGUGUGGCGGGGCUCGGUGGUCUCGGGCUCGGUGGGCUCGGGGCUCGGGGCUCGGUGCUCUCGGUGCUCUCGGUGGUCUCGGUGGUCUCGGUGGUCUCGGGUGCCGCUGUGGUGGGGCUCGGUGCUCUCGGGGCUCGGUGGUCUCGGGGCUCUCGGUGGUCUCGGGGCUCUCGGUGGUCUCGGGGCUCGGUGGUCUCGGUGGUCUCGGGUGCCGCUGUGGCGGGGCUCGGUGCUCUCGGUGGUCUCGGGCUCGGUGGUCUCGGUGGUCUCGGGCUCGGUGGUCUCGGUGGUCUCGGUGGUCUCGGUGCUCGGUGGUCUCGGGUGCCGCUGUGGCGGGGCCCGCGGGGUCCCCGAGUCCCGCCCCGCCUGCAAUCCCCGCAGUGCCCACAGGGCGGUGCCCGGGAGCCGCUCCCAGCCCGGCCCGCAUUUUGGGAAGUUUUUAAUAAAAUUCUUCGCUUGGCCGCAAUUCCCGGCGGAUUUUGUGUCCCGGGGAGCUCCGUGUGCUGGCUGCAGGCUGCUCUGCCGCAGGGCUGCAGAGCAGGGCGUGCUGCGGCCGCGCUGCUCGGGUUCCACGGCAAGCAGAGGGCGAGCUGAGGAGAGCGAGGCGAGCCCGGACCAUGAGCUGUGCUUGGAUCCAGUCAUGGAAUCACCAGGGCUGGGAAAGAACUCCGAGGCCAGGAAGUCCAGCCCUGCCAAGCCCACCUCUAACCCAUGUCCCCAAGCGCCGCAUCCACCCAUCCUUUAAAUCCCCCCAACCAUGGUGACUCCACCAUUGCCUUGAAGCCGUGGACAAACCUUUUGGAGAAGAAAUUUCCCCCAAUAUCCCAUUUAAACCUGCCCUGGAGAAACUUGAGGCUGUUCCCUCUCAUCCUUCACUUGUUACCCGGGAGAAGAGGCCGAUUGCCCCGGCUCCAGCCUCUCUGGAGGCGAUUCUCAGGCUGGAGCCGGGAGGUGAUGCACGCCCGGGAUGCAGGGCGAGGAUGCUCCCGCUGCCCCCUCCAGCGCAGGGAACUCGGCGACCUUCCAGGCCUUUUCCAACCUAAACAACUCCGCGAUUCCCCGAAUCCCAGCCCUAAUGGGGCUCAUGUGAUGAGGUUUGCUCUCUGCAGAGCACUCAGCGUUUCCCCGGCGCUGCG